CGGGCGAGCGCGCUCGGGCCGCGGGGACUGGCGGGUGCCUCGGGGAGCGCAGCCCGCACCCUGCGAGACCGAGGGGGGCGUGGGGCCGGAAUGGCUCCCCGGUGGGACAGACCCCGAGCUGGGUCACAGGCGCUGCCGCCUCGGCCGAGGGGCUCGAGCAGGAGCGUCUGUCGUGGGUGUUCGUGCGGUGCCUCCAUCGCUGCCCGGGCGCACGGACCGCCCUGCGCAUCCUUCCGCUGAAGCGAGCCGGAGCCGGGAACUGGCUCCGUCCUUCUGCACAGCCACAUCAGGAGUUUUCCCAGAAGUAGCCAGAAAGCUCCGGCAUUGCGGUGAGCUCCCAAUGCAAGAGCAGGGCUGCCGGGCUGCCGCCGCCGCGUAAAAUGCUAAAUCACGGCUCUGCGUAGUGGCCAUGACUGGUCCCUUGGCAGCCUCGCCCGCGGGCAGCCUCCCGAGCUCAGGGGAGGCAAGGCUGACGUGUGGUACUGUUGUACUGCACUGAGACGCGGUUCUUACAUGGUACCGCAAACUGCAAACGCGGCCGAACCUCCCCCCGUCCCGCCCGGUGCAACUCCCGGCCCGUUCUGGGCGCCUGAGCCGGGCGGCAGCUGCUGCGCCCCUGGGGCAAGGCAGGCGCCGUGUUUGCCGAAGCACAAUCGCCUUUUAGGGGAACCGAGCGCCUUGGCAGCGGGGGCUCAGCAGCCCCGCCGGCCCCACCGCGCGGCACCAGCGUCUCCUGCUGUCCCCGAGCCCGGCCUUGGGGCAGGACCGGGCUGUCCCAGCGCAGACCCGCUGCCCGCAGUAUACACGAGAUGGCGUGCCAUCGGGAAUGACCGCGGCUCCCUCGGGGACCAGGCACAGACGGCCCUCGCCAGGGCAGGACUCACUGCUGGAAGCAUCGCCCAGCCGGAGGAAGGAGAGAGCACCAGGAGAAAGGGAGGAACAGCACCUCUGGUUCGACGGGCUUUCCAAAUGUGGAAGAAAGAUGUGAAGCCUUCAUGCAAGACCAGAAUUCCUCCCGCUGCUCAAAACUCUCUCAAACCACUUCUCUGUAUGAGACCUGGCAAAUGCCCAUUGUGCUUCAGAGAGGCAAGGCUGCAGGGCCAGCUCUUGGCAGAUUGUAAGAGAAGACUCCUUCACAAAAGCCUAGAGCUGUGUUAA
Long non-coding RNA from Zonotrichia albicollis (white-throated sparrow), 1158 nucleotides. The record is from Ensembl. Lineage: Eukaryota; Metazoa; Chordata; Aves; Passeriformes; Passerellidae.